UACAGAGGGUGCGAGCGUUAAUCGGAAUUACUGGGCGUAAAGCGUGCGUAGACGGUAGCGUAAGUCAGAUGUGAAAGCCCCGGGCUCAACCUGGGAAUUGCAUUUGAGACUGCUCUGCUCGGGUGCGGAAGAGGGAAGCGGAAUUUCCGGUGUAGCGGUGAAAUGCGUAGAUAUCGGGAGGAACACCAGUGGCGAAGGCGAGUCUCUGGGAUGAUGCUGACGCUGAGGCGCGAAAGCCAGGGGAGCAAACGGG
RNAcentral lists this ribosomal RNA (253 nucleotides) under uncultured bacterium. RNAcentral's name for it is "partial 16S ribosomal RNA". It matches the Rfam family "Bacterial small subunit ribosomal RNA", at positions 524 to 776 of the family's 1533-position model. The record is from RNAcentral.